UACGGAAGGCGCAGUGGGGAAUAUUGCACAAUGGGCGCAAGCCUGAUGCAGCCAUGCCGCGUGUAUGAAAAAGGCCUUCGGGUUGUAAAGUACUUUCAGUCGUGAGGAAGGUGUUAAGGUUAAUAACCUUAGCAAUUGACGUUAGCGACAGAAGAAGCACCGGCUAACUCCGUGCCAGCAGCCGCGGUAAUACGGAGGGUGCGAGCGUUAAUCGGAAUUACUGGGCGUAAAGGGCACGCAGGCGGUUAAUUAAGUUGGAUGUGAAAUCCCCGGGCUUAACCUGGGAAUGGCACUCAAGACUGGUUAGCUAGAGUCUUGUAGAGGGGGUAGAAUUCCAUGUGUAGCGGUGAAAUGCGUAGAGAUGUGGAGGAAUACCGGUGGCGAAGGCGGCCCCUGGACAAGCUGACGCUCAUGUGCGAAAGCGUGGGGAGCAAACAGGGAUUAGAUACC
This 450-nucleotide ribosomal RNA is filed under the name uncultured bacterium. RNAcentral describes it as "bacterial SSU rRNA". It matches the Rfam family "Bacterial small subunit ribosomal RNA", at positions 340 to 786 of the family's 1533-position model. The record is from RNAcentral.